GAAAUGCGAUAAGUAAUGUGAAUUGCAGAAUUCAGUGAAUCAUCGAAUCUUUGAACGCACCUUGCGCUCCUUGGUAUUCCUUGGAGCAUGCCUGUUUGAGUAUCAUGAAAUCUUCAAAGUAAAUCUUUUGUUAACUCAAUUGGUUUCUACUUUGGUAUUGGAGGUCUUUGCAGCUUCACACCUGCUCCUCUUUGUUCAUUAGCUGGAUCUCAGUGUUAUGCUUGGUUCCACUCGGCGUGAUAAGUUAUCUAUCGCUGAGGACACUGUAAAAGGUGGCCAAGGUAAAUGCAGAUGAACCGCUUCUAAUAGUCCAUUGACUUGGACAAUACUUUUAUGAUCUGAUCUCAAAUCAGGUAGAACUACCCGCUGAACAUAAGC
This 378-nucleotide unclassified non-coding RNA is filed under the name plant metagenome. RNAcentral's name for it is "partial contains 5.8S ribosomal RNA, internal transcribed spacer 2, and large subunit ribosomal RNA". The stretch from base 1 to 105 matches the Rfam family "5.8S ribosomal RNA", at positions 50 to 154 of the family's 154-position model. The record is from RNAcentral.